UCCCUUAUAAAUUACUCCAAAUACAAACAAAACCCUCAUUAUCGCAAUUCCCCAAAUAAUAGUUUCGGCGAAAAAAUCUCUCAUAGCGUUUAGAAUCAAUCCAGAAGAAAAUUAUCUUAAAUUAGGGUUGUGGUUGAUUGUAAUAGCAAACAAGAAUCAAAAAUAUGGUAGCAAAAGCUGAUAUCGCCGUUUCGAUUGGUCUAGGGUUCUUCCACGUCUCCACGCCGUUGACAUCUAAGGGUUUUCUUGAUGCUCGCUUCUGAAUCUGUGUCCAUCAAAAUCGCUCGUUCUGAAUCGGUAUGUUUUUAGUUUUUUAUCCCUCUUUUAUGUGAUUAUGAAUUGGGUUUCGAGUAUGAUAUCUAUUAUCUAGAUUAAUACAUUUAAGACUUAGGAUUUUUGUAUCCGUUGUUAUUGACUUGGAUUUGGUGAUUAAUUUGAUCGAUUGAUAUGGAUUAUUGGCUUUUCACGUGUGUGUUAACAUCUGGGUAUUGGUUGGGGUGAAAUUGAUGUUGCCUUUGCAAAUUUAGAGUUUAUUGGCUUACCCUAUUUUUUUUGGAAUGGGUGUAGCUUGAUUAUCAAGAAUCUACUUUUCUUUUAUUUAUAUAAAUUAUUUUAACUGAUUGUUUUACCUUUUACUGAAACAUUUGAUUUUAGGAACCUUGCUUUCCUAUGUUCAAGAGUGUUAAAUGACGCAGAAGGUGCAAGCUUCACUUAAUAUCAUGCAUUUGGAUGAGUACAAUCUUUGAGCAAGAACAGAGUAAAUCAAGUAAUGUGUUCGUUUUAUGUUUACAUCAUAUUUUGAAUUUACGCUGUCUAGUGAUAGCCAAUUUGAUAGUUACAUGUUUAAAUUAUGUUAAGUUUUGUUUAUUAUUGCCUUUAAACUUGCAGAUUAUGAUGCAACUGAUACUCUUUGGAAGUUGGAAUGUUGUAUUUUUGUUUGUACACUUAGUUACUUUAAGUUACUCCGUUAUUUUACUGAAUUAUGUUUUUCUUUUGCAACAGUUUUGAGAUAUACUUGAACAACAAGCAAAUGUCUGGGUAAGUUGAUAUCACUUCUUAAAACUAAUAGCAAUUAUUUUUUUAUUAUUUAUACUUGUUGUCUUUAUUAUCAGACUUCUGUUUGUUGCUUGGUGAAACUAUUAUUCUGUCUUUAAUCUUUCCUAUAAUUUAUCAGUGAUUAAACGGAGUACAAUGGUUGAUUGGUAUUAAACUUAACAAUGGCUUUAAACUUAACAGGUUCUCUUAUUACUCUUGGUUUUGUGCAAAUAUCUAACCAAUUUUUUUUUUGAAAUUCAUAUGAACUUUAUUUCACUUUAUCAAGAUCCAUUUACUUCAUAAGUUUGUAUCAGUGAAUCUUUUGAGUUACUAUUGCACUGACCUAGAUUUGUACCUUUACUGUGUCUGAAUGAAAAAUUGGGCGGCCAUCUUACAGGUUUGAGAAUGAAAAAAUCGAGAUUUGGUAAUUUAAUUUUAAUAUUUAUUGAAUUGAAUAAAUAUUUUUCGAUGAAUUAAUUAUUAGAUUAAAUAAUUAAUUGAUGAAAUUGUGGUAGAUUAAUUUAAUUAUAUGUGUUAUAUUUAUUAAAUUAAUGUGGAGAAUUUUUUAUUAUUCGAAGUAUGUAAUUAUGUGAGCUUAUUGUAAUAAAAGAAAUAUUUAAUAAGCCUAAUAGUAUUUUAAUUAAUUUAAUAAUUAAUUAGAGAUUUAAUAAUUUGACAUUAUUAAUAAAUGAGAAAUUUAAUUAUGUGACUAUGUGGAUUUAUGAGAAAUUAUUAUAUGUUAUUUAAUUAAAUUAAAUAAGAUAUUGACUUUAUUUUAUAAAGUAGUGUGAUAUUAUUUAAACUAUUUUAUAAAGGUUUAAUUAAAUUAAUUGGAUAUAAGCCUUUAAGGCUAACCAAACGAGGCCUUAAGAGGAGUUGAGGGCAGUUAAACCACGUAUGGAGUAACUGACCUCAACUCUGCGCAUAAAGGGUCAGUUGCUUUGUUUUACGUAUUUUGCUAUUAAGUGUUCAAACUGAGAGUCAGAGAAUUUAGAGAGAGUUCAGAGAGAAUUCAGAGGAAUUGUGGGAGAAAACUCUGUGAUUGAAGUAGUAUCUGAAAAGGGAUUGUUAUCUUUACUCACUCUACGCUCUGGGUAAUUCUCUCCAACCCAAUUCUCAUUUUUUUUUCGUCAUUAAGCUUUCAUGAAAAUGGUUUCCAAUCUCUUUGUUAAAUCUCUGUAAAUGGGAAAUUGUGUUGUUAUAUGGAUAUAUGUAAUAAUAUGAUUAGCAUAACAUGUUUAAUUAUAUAUUAUAUAGGUUUCCAUAUCAUCAGUUUCAUAAUAUUAAUGUAUGUUAUGGCUUCAAAAGUAACAGAGUAUAGAAUAUGGCCAUGUGGCCCUUAUACGUGAUUUUAAUAUGUCAAACAUAAUUUUUUUUUGUAAAAUUUUCACUUGUAUAUAAUUAUGCAUGCUAAAAUGAAGAAAACAAAAUUUGAAUGGAUGGAUUUGGUGUUAUAACAAAUCUGUAGUGUUAAAAUUUUAUGUUUUUGUUCAAAACCUUCAAGAACACCAAGAACAAUGAAAUUCGCAUGUUUUAAUUUUGUAAUUAUGUGUUUUAAUUGGUUAAAAUCACUCUAUAAAUGUUGGGUAAUGAUUAUAUACGAAUUAUAACAUGUGGGUAUGUUUAAUCUGGUGAAUUCAAUGACCAUGUAAUGUUAAAUCCGCUUGUUUCUGUGUUCUUCGCGAACUAGAAAUUCAGAAAUUGGAGUUUCGCGCCGCGGUGCCAACUCCAGGCCUAAGACUCGCGCCGCAGUACCAAGACCUAGUAUAACAGUGGCGCCGCAGCGCCACUUAACAGAAUGGUCCAAAAAUGAGUUUUUAACAUGUUUAAAUUUAGCAAUGUGUUGGUAACUUAAUCUAAUUAACAUAAAAACUUGUUAGACAUAUAAUGAGGUGUUAAAAUAAAUUCUUAGCAUGUCAAUAACACAUGUACGUGAGAAUUGAAUGAUUGAAUGCAUAGUUAGCUUAUUGUUCAUGAAGUGUUAAUUGUGACAAUGAGUGUAAUAAUUUGACUAAGUAUAGUCAUGAAUUUGAGUUAGACAAAAAGAAUGAACUUGUGAUGACUAGUACGUUAUAAUUGACUGGUAUUGUGAACGUAAAUGAUAUGUAGGAUUUAAAUCAAGGAACGAGUUUAAUUAACGUGUAAUCUACGCACAAGGCAAGUUUCCUAACCUUACUCGUUAUCUUUAUAUGAGCUUAUAAGUUAUCUCUUUACAUCGAGCAAAUUCUCGUUAUUAUUGAUCAAGUCCAUUUUAUUAUAUUAAAAUGUAUUAAUCUUUCAAAGUAUGAUUCUGUUAUACAAUAAUUAUUCUAUUGUAUACCUUUUGAGAUUGCUAUUCAAUUUUAAAUUAUCAGUUACUGUUGAACUUUGUUAGACUAGUGAACCCUUAAUGAUUCGACUAGUCCAUAGUUGAUGAGCGUUCUAAAUUUCAGAACCCUUGAUGAAUUAUCCAAACCAAACUUCCUUUGGUGCGGACUCUAAUGUCAAACUGAGAUGAACAACCCUGUAUAGGGGAUUACUUAUGCGUUAGCGUUAAGAUAUUGUGCACAGUAUGGUACUAAGGGCUGAUCCCCCUAAGUACGAGAAGAAGAGUCCAUAGUCUUAUGACUGUUAAAGGUUUCAAGUAUAAACACUUGACAACCUAGGACAUAGUUCAAGGUCUUAUGACCCUCAGAAGUUCUUUUAUUUCUUGUUAUUCAUUCCUGAUUCAAAAGUUGAGUUUCCUAUUUCAGAAGUCUUUGAUUUAUUCAAAUAUUAUUAUUCAUUUGUUAUAUUAUUAUACUUGUGGGCAAUCGUGCUCACUCUUGCGUAAUAAUAACAUUGCAGUUAAGAACGAAAGAUCAGACGAGCCUUCCACUAGUAAAGGCAAGGGCAAGAUUAACAAGUAAUGAAGACUGGUUAUUUAUGUGUUUAUGUAAUGAUAUUCAGGAUUUAUAUUAUUUAAAGACUUAUUAUUUGUUUAUGAUUCCGCACAGAUGUUUAAGGUUAGAGCAACCUGGGAUUUUAUUAUUAUGCAGUUAAUGUAACCCCAUAAGGGGAGAUUUAUUUAUUAUUUCUAUCUAUUGCAUGGUUUGCAUUUAUUUAUGGGUAGAUAGAUAGAUGAUAUUUGUACAGUGAACACCAAAUCCUGUGGAAAUGGAAGUACCGGAUUUGGGGGUGUCACAGGUUGGUAUCAAAGCUGUAGGUUAUGAACCUUAGGUGGGGAAACAACCUUAGGUAGUAGCCUUGUAAGAGAUUGAGAACAUAGUAGUGGUAAACUCUUAUCGAGUUAUAAGAAAUGAAUUUCUAAAUUCAUUGAAGAUAAUAAAAGAUUUUAUGUGCUUAUGUGUUAAUCUAUGUGUUCGCUAGCACGGAUUAGUAACUAAAACUUAAAUUUUGUUGUCAGGAUGUCGGAUGUUAGAGGAGCUAGUCGAUCUGGGGAGGAGGAACCCGGAGUACCUACAGAGGAGGAGCCCCGAGACAUUCAUGUCAUCAGGGAACAGUUGGUACAGAGAAAGCCAUCUCCGUUGAUCACUGUUGUUGGUCGGGAGCAUGAGCCUGAGACCGAUCUAGAGGAGGAUUCUGAUGAAGAAGAGGAGGAAGAGGAGUUCCCACAGAACUCCAUUGAUGCUGAGAUGUAUGAUGCACUUUAUGAUCGUAACAUAGAGUUGCAAGACACUGUUCAGGAGCUGGGGAAAGGACUGUUAUGCAGCAGAGUACCAUCG
Molecule: long non-coding RNA, 4739 nt
Filed under: Panax ginseng (ginseng)
Lineage: Eukaryota; Viridiplantae; Streptophyta; Magnoliopsida; Apiales; Araliaceae
Description: long non-coding RNA (PGIN_LNC000341)
Source: RNAcentral